UCCGCGGGGCGCCCUGGGAGCCUCCGCUGGCGGCGCCGGGGAGCGGGCGCUCGCCGGCACCGCUGACCUGUUGAAAGACCCGGGCGCGUCGGGGCUCCCUUUGUCCCCCUCGCUUAUUUUCCCUCUUUUCUUCCCGCCGGGGGAACUCUGCUCCCCAGACCGUGGCGCGGCUUCCUCCACGCCCUUUCCUCCUCCUCUUCCUCCGUGAUUCUAGGAUCCGCUGCCCGGGGCCGGGAGCGGUUUCCCUCGGAGCCCCCGGCCGCCGCCCGCGCUGGAGCCGGGGGCGCCUCCGCCCUCCCGCAGGAGCUGCCGCGGGCGCCGGGCUUGCCCGUCUCCUCCCGCGGCGGUGGGGCGGCCCCGGGAGGGCUGCGGCCCCUCGGCGGCGCGGUCCCCCCGGGCUGCCGGGCCGCCACCAUGUCGAAAGCGGCGGCGGAAAGUGUCGGGGCGGCGCCGGCCGAGGACUUGUCCAAGGUGUCGGACGAGGAGCUGCUCAAGUGGAGCAAGGAGGAGCUGAUCCGCAGCCUCCGCCGCGCCGAGGCCGAGAAGAUGAGCGCGAUGCUGGACCACAGCAACCUCAUCCGCGAGGUGAACCGCCGCCUCCAGCUCCACCUCGGCGAGAUCCGCGGCCUGAAGGAUAUCAACCAGAAGCUGCAAGAAGAUAACCAAGAACUGAGAGACCUUUGCUGCUUCCUGGAUGACGACAGGCAGAAAGGCAAGAAAGUGUCCCGCGAGUGGCAGAGGCUGGGCAGGUACAGCGCUAGUGUUAUGCACAAAGAGGUUGCCUUAUACUUACAGAAGCUGAAAGAACUGGAAGUGAGGCAGGAAGAGGUGGUUAAAGAAAACCUGGAGCUGAAAGAACUGUGCGUGUUGCUGGAUGAGGAGAAAAGUGGUGGAGCAGGCAGCCGGAGCUCUAUCGACAGCCAGAUCAGCCUGUGCCAGUUAACCGCGGCGAGUACUUACAUCCGAGACGUCGGUGACGGGAGCAGUACUUCCAGCACAGGGAGUACAGACAGUCCAGACCAUCAUAAACAUCACCCAAGUACCAGUCCGGAACAUCUGCAAAAGUCUCGGGGAGAAGGCAGCCCUGAGCAUCAGAAGCACAGGAGUGUCAGCCCAGAGCACCUCCAGAAGCCUAGGAGUUCUGGCAGUCCUGAUCAUCACCUGAAAGGACCAAGUCCGGAACAUCACAAAAGCAUUGUCAAAGCACCUGAACAACAAAAGCACAGCAGCAGCAGCCCAGAAACUCUUCCAAAGCAUGUUCUGAGUAGUAGCCCUGAACACUUCCAAAAGCAGAGGCCCGGUAGCAGCCCUGAGCAUCAAAAGCACAGCAGUGGCAGCCCAGAUCACCUUCAAAAGCACACGCCGAGCGGAAGCACGGAACAUCUCCACAAAGUGAGGGGUACGAGCCCUGAGCAUCUCAAACAACACUAUGGAGGGAGCCCGGAGCACCUCAAACAUCUCAGUGGGGGCAGCAGAGAAGGUACCCUCAGGAGACAAGUAACAGAUGAGCUGUCACCUCACCACAGAAGUAUAUACAAUGGAAUGAAUGCUCUCCAACCACCGAGACCAAAGGCUCUGCAGUCUUAACUAAACAGCAGAAGAUACCAGAAUCUGUGUCUCUUCCAGGUACAGGUGCUAAGAAAUUUUUGAUUUCUUCCUUGCUUUUGGAAUACUGCUCUGCACUCCAGUCAAUACUGCUGCUCCAUUUUGACAGCUUGCAACCAUAGCAUGUGCAAAUAUUUUGGAGAACUAGGAGGACAAAAAGCAUCCUGAGCAUACUAAAAGAAACCUUAACUUCAGCAUUAAGGCAUUGGUAUUUGCAUAUUUUGCCUUCUCUAUAAAAGUAAAAAUAUGGAAAGAUUUCUUAACCUUUUAGAGCGUAUUAUAAAGUUGUAUGCAGGCUGAUAAAAAUGAAUUACUGGAUUGCCUGACGGCAUGGAAGUGACUGAUCAGACUGUCUUGGAGGCUUGGAUCUCAGAGUUUUAUCCUCUCAAGUCACUCCGUCGUCCUGGUUUUGUGAGGAAUGAGCUGGAUGGUGCUGACUCCUUGUAUUGAUCACGCUACUGCAAUUGCCUCCAGGUGCGGACCCGUGGAAUACUGAAAAGAUGCUUGGGGAAGUCUGAAAAGAGACGUAGCACAAAAGGACCCGCUUGACCCUUUUUCAUGAUAACUCUACAACAAUCCAAAUUAAACAAAGUGUAUUGUACUUAAAUGACAAGUCGGCGCUUAUCAGCUGCCACCUGGAAACGUGCACUUCAGGCGCUGAAGCUAAGAGUUGUGUGGAGGAAACUUGGAGAUGCUGCAGGGUCGUGCCCUGGAAUUAGACAACAUUUGUCAGGAAAUCAGUAUAAAGGACCUAUGUAAAAGGCCCUGAGCAAGUCCUCUCUCUGAGUUUGAACUGCCCGAGAGAGAAAGAGCUGACUGUGUCCGCAGCGACCUGCCGGCUGAUGACGGGGCAUCUCUAUGCACUGCACGGGACUUCGCUGGAAGCCAGCAGAGGUUCUGCAGAGGGGUCUUUCAGAGGAGCCGUGCUGUCGGCGUUCCCCAAUACCGCUGUUCCGAUGUACUGGCUCGUGAAACGCUGCUGCCGCAUCGACGCUUCAACACACCACACGUAGAAGCACGGAGGUAUUUGCAUCCUAACUAAAAGAUAAUUGGGAUUCUGCAGGAGUUACGUGAAAUAAGUUUUAUUUUGGUUGGUUACAGUGAAUCUCUAGUUAAAGCCUGAACGAAUUUUGCCACUGGAUUUAACAGAGGUUUUUCACCAGGCUGGAGAGACGUUGAUAAACUGUGCCUUUGGUCUCCGCAGUUUUGAGAAAGUCACUUCUUAGUAACUCACACUUCAGUCUCGAAAAUAUUGGUUAAUGGUGCUUAGGCAAUUUCCAGAUGAUUUUUUUGCUUUGGUAGAAUACCUGCCUUUGGAGGUGCUAAAAGACCAUCCAGUCUCCUAACCAGCCAGUAGUGUAGCAUAACUACAGUACUUGUAGUGAACCGCAAUUUCUUUCUAAAUGAAAGUAAAGAUAGCUUUCUUUUUGAUUCACUUUGAUGCACAUCUUCUGAAGACGUGUGCGAUGUUUGCAGCCCUUUAAUGAACAGGAUACUUAGGCAUCACUAUCAUAGGUCUCAAAUCAGAAUUUCCAUCAGAGGGGUUUUUUUGAAAGUAUUUUCCAGUUGUCAGGAUGCUAAUUUCUACUGUUUAAUUUAGAGACGUGCUGGUUUAUUUAACAAGAGUCUACAAGGAUUUAAAAGAUUGCACUGCAUUAUAAAAAAGCUUUUCUUGCCACUGUAGCGUUCUUUCAAAGGAAAAGGUUUUAU
Chroicocephalus ridibundus (black-headed gull) is the source of this 3315-nucleotide RNA transcript. It is a transcript of the gene named coiled-coil domain containing 85A, with no coding region annotated. The transcript has 4 exons. The record is from RefSeq and is a predicted model, not a curated record. NCBI's taxonomy places the organism in Eukaryota, Metazoa, Chordata, Aves, Charadriiformes, Laridae.